CUAGUUGGAGUUAAGAGUAUCAUGGACCUUCCUGGGUGUGCUGACUUUAAACCAUGAUCCUCAGAUUUUAGUCUCCUCUGAUCUUGAGCUUUGUUGGUAGGAUUUGUACCACUUAAGUCAUGACUCCAGCCCUUGUUAAUUUAUGUUGAUUAAUUUUGUGUAUGUACAACUGGGGAUUGAAACCAGGGCUUCACACAUGCUUCAUUGAACUGUAUCUCCAAUUCCUCUGUACCCCUAACUCUUGGCUGGGAUUACAAACUUGUGUCUGGCUGUGUGUGUGUAAUGGUCCUGGGGCUUGA
Molecule: long non-coding RNA, 299 nt
Organism: Perognathus longimembris pacificus (Pacific pocket mouse)
Lineage: Eukaryota; Metazoa; Chordata; Mammalia; Rodentia; Heteromyidae
Exons: 3
Source: RefSeq, a predicted model, not a curated record